CAGCCGCCGCGGUAAUACGAAGGGGGCUAGCGUUGUUCGGAUUUACUGGGCGUAAAGGGCGCGUAGGCGGACUGAUAAGUCAGGGGUGAAAUCCCAAGGCUCAACCUUGGAACUGCCUUUGAUACUGUUUGUCUUGAGUUCGAGAGAGGUAAGUGGAACUGCGAGUGUAGAGGUGAAAUUCGUAGAUAUUCGCAAGAACACCAGUGGCGAAGGCGGCUUACUGGCUCGAAACUGACGCUGAGGCGCGAAAGCGUGGGGAGCAAGCAGGAUUAGAUACCCGGGUAGUCCCUGUCUCUUAUAC
This 301-nucleotide ribosomal RNA is filed under the name uncultured bacterium. RNAcentral's name for it is "partial 16S ribosomal RNA". It matches the Rfam family "Bacterial small subunit ribosomal RNA", at positions 509 to 807 of the family's 1533-position model. The record is from RNAcentral.